RNAcentral lists this transfer RNA (73 nucleotides) under Ailuropoda melanoleuca (giant panda). It matches the Rfam family "tRNA". From Rfam's summary of the family: Transfer RNA (tRNA) molecules are approximately 80 nucleotides in length. Their secondary structure includes four short double-helical elements and three loops (D, anti-codon, and T loops). Lineage: Eukaryota; Metazoa; Chordata; Mammalia; Carnivora; Ursidae. The record is from Rfam by way of RNAcentral.
ACUUGGCUGGCUCAGUAGGUAGAGCAUGCAACUCUUGAUCUCAGAGUUGUGAGUUCAAGUCCCACACUGAGUC